GCCUAAAGCGUCCGUAGCCUGCUUUGUAAGUUUUCGGUUAAAUCCAUCAGCUCAACUGAUGGGCCGCCGAAAAAACUGCAAAGCUAGGGAGUGGGAGAGGUAGACGGUACUCGAUAGGAAGGGGUAAAAUCCUUUGAUCUAUUGAUGACCCCCUGUGGCGAAGGCGGUCUACCAGAACACGUUCGACGGUGAGGGAUGAAAGCUGGGGGAGCAAACCGGAUUAGAUACCCGGGUAGUCCCAGCCGUAAACGAUGCAGACUCGGUGAUGCGCUGGCUUGUGGCCAGUGCAGUGCCGCAGGGAAGCCGUUAAGUUUGCCGCCUGGGAAGUACGUACGCAAGUAUGAAACUUAAAGGAAUUGGCGGGGGAGCACCACAAGGGGUGAAGCCUGCGGUUCAAUUGGAGUCAACGCCAGAAAUCUUACCCGAAGAGACAGCAGAAUGAAGGUCAAGCUGGAGACUUUACCAGACAAGCUGAGAAGUGGUGCAUGGCCGUCGCCAGCUCGUGCCGUGAGAUGUCCUGUUAAGUCAGGUAACGAGCGAGAUCCCUGCCUCUAGUUGCCACCAUUACUCUCAGGAGUAGUGGGGCGAAUUAGCGGGACCGCCGCAGUUAAUGCGGAGGAAGGAAGGGGCCACGACAGGUCAGUAUGCCCCGAA
This 654-nucleotide ribosomal RNA is filed under the name uncultured archaeon. Its description in RNAcentral is "bacterial SSU rRNA". It matches the Rfam family "Archaeal small subunit ribosomal RNA", at positions 508 to 1160 of the family's 1478-position model. The record is from RNAcentral.